RNAcentral lists this long non-coding RNA (1064 nucleotides) under Jatropha curcas. Its description in RNAcentral is "long non-coding RNA (JCUR_LNC003412)". The record is from RNAcentral. Lineage: Eukaryota; Viridiplantae; Streptophyta; Magnoliopsida; Malpighiales; Euphorbiaceae.
CCAAUUAAAAAUCAAGAUUUGGGUUGAAUCGAACCGGAAUCGGACCGAACCAACCCAAACCUUCCAGAAACCCUCUCAUCCUUUAUCUCUAGCCAGCCUACUCAUCCCCAGACCGUUUUUGCGCCACCUCCAGCCCACCACCGCACCACCACCUCCUCUUCUCUUCUUCUUCUUCUUUCUCUUCUUUCUUUUCUCUUCCUUUCUUCUUUCAUUUUUGCUUUCCUAGGGCCUGCGUUCUUGGCGAGACAGAGGCAACGCAGAGCCGCCGCUUCUUAUUGCAGCAGAGCCGCUCGCCACCGCUUGCUCCUCCACCUCGUCGCGCCAUCGCCAGCCUGCUGCAGCUCCAGUGAGUCUUAAACCACCAGAUCGCGCCGCCAUCGCCUUCCAUUGCCAUUGUCAGUUGGAUCCGGCACUUCCGACGCAUGUAACUCGGAUCCGGCACAAACAAGUUUCCGAUCUAGCACAAUUUUGACAGAAAUUAUAUUUUGGGGUAACAAAAAAUUAAUUUUAAUAAUUUUAAUUACUUGAAUUAAUUUUAUUAUUGUAGUUAAUUAAUUUUAUUAUCGUAGUUGAUUAAUAUUAUUAUAGGAGUUAAGUAAUAUUAAUUAAUGAAAUUAAUUUUAUUAUUUGUAGUUAAUUAAUUUAGUAAUUUUGGGUAUAAAUUAACUUAGUAAUUUUAGUUGAUUAAAUUAAUGUUAGUAAUCUUGAUUAGUUAAUUUAUUUUAGCAAUUUUGAUUAAUUAAUUUAAUUUAAUUUUAGUAUUGAUCUAUUGCUUAGUUAAAUUAAAAGUAAGUAGUGUUGAUUUAUUAAUUUAAUAAAAAUAUUUAGUUAAAAUUUAAUACGAUAUUAAACUAAAUUAAUUGAAGAGUCAGAUAAGUCGAGUAUAUGGAAUUAAAGAAAAUUUAUAAAUGUAUGUUGGUACGGGAAAAUGUGGAGGAUAGGAUUUAUUGAUUGGAUUGAUUGCCUGAUGGAUGGGCUAUGUGGUUUGGAAUUAAUUGAUAUAAUGUUGACAUUUUAACAGGUGGAUAAUCCAAUUUUGAGGGGGGAUGCUGCCGAAAAGUCAG